RNAcentral lists this ribosomal RNA (253 nucleotides) under uncultured bacterium. Its description in RNAcentral is "partial 16S ribosomal RNA". It matches the Rfam family "Bacterial small subunit ribosomal RNA", at positions 524 to 776 of the family's 1533-position model. The record is from RNAcentral.
UACGUAGGGGGCUAGCGUUGUCCGGAUUUAUUGGGCGUAAAGAGCGUGUAGGCGGCCAUGUAGGUCCGGUGUGAAAACUCGAGGCUUAACCUCGAGAUGUCAUCGGAAACCAUUUGGCUAGAGUCCGGAAGAGGAGAGUGGAAUUCCUGGUGUAGAGGUGAAAUUCGUAGAUAUUGGGAAGAACACCGAUGCCGAAGGCAGCCAUCUGGACCGACACUGACGCUGAGGCGCGAAAGCGUGGGGAGCAAACAGG